UACGAAGGGGGCUAGCGUUGUUCGGAAUUACUGGGCGUAAAGCGCACGUAGGCGGAUAUUUAAGUCAGGGGUGAAAUCCUGGAGCUCAACUCCAGAACUGCCUUUGAUACUGAGAAGCUCGAGUCCGGGAGAGGUGAGUGGAACUGCGAGUGUAGAGGUGAAAUUCGUAGAUAUUCGCAAGAACACCAGUGGCGAAGGCGGCUCACUGGCCCGGUACUGACGCUGAGACGCGAAAGCGUGGGGAGCGAACAGG
This 253-nucleotide ribosomal RNA is filed under the name uncultured bacterium. RNAcentral describes it as "partial 16S ribosomal RNA". It matches the Rfam family "Bacterial small subunit ribosomal RNA", at positions 524 to 776 of the family's 1533-position model. The record is from RNAcentral.